This 253-nucleotide ribosomal RNA is filed under the name uncultured bacterium. RNAcentral's name for it is "partial 16S ribosomal RNA". It matches the Rfam family "Bacterial small subunit ribosomal RNA", at positions 524 to 776 of the family's 1533-position model. The record is from RNAcentral.
UACGAAGGGUGCAAGCGUUACUCGGAAUUACUGGGCGUAAAGCGUGCGUAGGUGGUUUGUUAAGUCUGUUGUGAAAGCCCCGGGCUCAACCUGGGGGCUGCGCUUGAUACUGAUUGGCUUGAAUGCGGGAGAGGAUAGUGGAAUUCCCAGUGUAGAGGUGAAAUUCGUAGAUAUUGGGAAGAACACCGGUGGCGAAGGCGGCUAUCUGGCCCGUAAUUGACGCUGAGGCGCGAAAGCGUGGGGAGCAAACAGG